CUACCUGGCCCUACAUCUACAGAUUGUCGGGCUGUUUUCCUUAGGGGGGGUGGUGCCUCGUCAUCAGUGUCCACACCUUGAAGCAUACUAACCAAGACCCUCACGUCACCGUGCACGUCCCACGCUGCACCUGGAGGAAGGUGGUGCGCGACUGCCUUCUGGAGGCGGAUAUGAUCAUAAGAACUAGGAGGCCAGAAACAAUUCCAUGACUCCCCUGCCUCCUCCAACCAGCUGCUUGGCACUAUGGUAGUGCUCCUAUCUUUGAAUUCGACGACCUUCCACACCUGUGCCAUCUGUCAAUGAGAAGACAAGGAAUUAGGAUUGGUGAAGAAGAGGGAUGGCAACAUAAUGGUCUUGGUCUGGAAAAAGCACACAUUUUC
Gadus morhua (Atlantic cod) is the source of this 380-nucleotide long non-coding RNA. RefSeq lists it as uncharacterized. NCBI's taxonomy places the organism in Eukaryota, Metazoa, Chordata, Actinopteri, Gadiformes, Gadidae. The record is from RefSeq and is a predicted model, not a curated record. The transcript is spliced from 3 exons.